GCAUCACGCAAGAAACAGAAAACAUCACAGUCAGUUGCUUCAUUGUCCGUGGGUGCACCUUCACCUGCAUUGCCAUCUAUGCAACCAUCUUCAUCAGCCCUAAGACGGGGUCUGCCGCCAGGGUCUAGAAGCAAGAAACCCAAAUCAUCCAUGCAGUAUCCUUCUACAGGUUUGGGUGGAAGAGCACAAGCUGCAAUUCGGAGUUCUUCAGGUGCAUUUGCAACUAAUGACCCUGCAGAAGCAACCAGUUAUGAUCCAUUGAUCGGAAGGAAAGUUUGGACUCGGUGGCCUGAAGAUAACCAAUACUAUCAGGCUGUUAUAACCGACUACAAUCCAGUUGAGGGGAGGCAUGCUUUGGU
This 359-nucleotide unclassified non-coding RNA is filed under the name Hevea brasiliensis (rubber tree). The record is from RNAcentral. Lineage: Eukaryota; Viridiplantae; Streptophyta; Magnoliopsida; Malpighiales; Euphorbiaceae.